Molecule: long non-coding RNA, 2201 nt
Organism: Dreissena polymorpha
Lineage: Eukaryota; Metazoa; Mollusca; Bivalvia; Myida; Dreissenidae
Exons: 2
Source: RefSeq, a predicted model, not a curated record
AUAUUGUAUUGCUAUUUCAUUUCAGAUGCGAUUCUAUGGGUUUAAUAAUAAUUUACUCUUAAUGAAGAUAGUGUUUUAAUUUAAUAAAGAACUCGUGUGUAAAGAGGCAGCUUGUAGCUCGCAAAAACCAGAUCCCAAAGCCGCUGUAUUAACCGUAUUAUAUGUUUUGCGUGUGUGCAGUGUGUUGUGUCUUGUCUAGUAGUAGAGAUGUGUUUUGUACCUCACGCUUUUGCAAUAUAUACCUUACCAAAACUAAAAGGCCACAUUCUAUGUUACGGUUUCUUUCCUGAUAAUGUGGCUGAAGGUUCAUUAGUGUAAACAUGAAAAAACAGAUAUGUUAAUAGAUAUGUUAUUGCAAUAUGCUGCAGUAUUUUGCCAAUUCUAUCCAAUGUUCGUGGGCCAGUGAUCGCUUCAAUAAUCUGAUGUUAACAACUUGAUAUUUCCUUUGCUCACAUUUUUUAAUAUGAUAAGAGUUUAUGUGCAUUUUCGUUACAACUUCACAACCUUUCAUUGUGCACACUUGUAUUAUGGGGCUAUGAUUGUUCAAUCAUUUGGCUGACGUUUUGACAAGUCUUCUACGUAUGGUACUAAUUACAUGUAAAAAGGUAAGACACACACACCUCUGAAAUAGGUCAGCAAAGAACGCCUGACCAAUCAGGAAGUACAAAAUCCAAACGGCUGAAUGUCAGUUAUCGCGCAGAUAAUUUAUUUACAGCGUAUUUGUUUUAAAAUACAUAAUGUGUUUGAUUAUACUUGUGCACCUUAACAUUUACAGGGGCCUUUUCACAGAUUUUGGUAUAUUUUGUCAUUAAAUGCUUUAUAUAAAUAAAUGUAAACAUUGGAUCCAAAAAGCGCCAGUACAAAAUCAAGAACAAAAUUUAAAAAAGAAAAAAAGGUAACCCUCAGCAGGGCUCGAACAACUGACCCCUGGUGUCCUGGAGUAUAAAGACUACAACUUAUCCACUCGGCCAUCCUUCCAGAUACUAUGUCCGUUGUAUGUUAUGCUUUAUAUAAGCAAUCCUCGUAGUUUCACAAAAUAUAACGACAACAAUAGAACUCUCCAAAUUAUUUAUUCGUUUCGCGUUGCAACGCUUUAUAAUUUUCAGGUUUUAAAAUCGUCAAAAUAUGCAUAGAAUGGAUAUUUAAGAGCAUGGUAAGUGUUCAGUAUUACGUUUUCCUCACACAUAUAAUAAUUAAAACGAAAAUUUGCGAAACUGAAACAACUUUUUUUAAUAUUGUCAAUUUACCAAAACGUUAAAAGGCCCCUAUAAAAAAAAUUCUGUCAACUGUCCCAAAAAUAGACAUUAUCUCGACGAAUAAAAUUCCGUUGCAAACACAUGAGGAUCACAUGCUAAACCAUGUCUUGUUUUGCAAAGCGUUAACUCAUAGUUAAGGUCAUCUAUUAUCUCGGUGUACAGGUAACUGAAAUCUAAAGAAUUGAGCAAAGGAAAAAUCGUUAUCUAUGGGCAUGUUUAAAAUGGAUUAAUGCAUUAAGUUAAAACAAUGAUUAUGUUAUAAACUAUAUUAAAUGUAUUAUAUAAUAGUAGAUUAUUCAAAGUUUCGCGGUCUGUGCUCUGUGGACCUUGAUUUAAUUGGAGAUCUUAAAGCCUGUUCAUAGUCUCUAGUUGGUACUAUAACAUUUCGCGGUCUGUUCUCUGUUAAACUUGAUGUGGGUGGAGAUGUGACAGUCUGUGAACAGUCCAACAUUUUCAAAGUCGUUAUUCACGCUGUAUGGCUUGACUUACUUCGUUCCGAAAGAGUCCGGAGCAGCUGGUUUCAGCGAUGUUUUAUGGUCAUUCCUUGUAUUCAAGAUUCCGCUCAGCCACUAAUUGCUCAGAGACUUACACCUGCCAGUUGUGUACCCAGCCUGCCAGUUGUGUAUCCAGCCUGCCAGUUGUGUACCCAGCCUGCCAGUUGUGUACCCAGCCUGCCAGUUGUGUACCUAGCCUGCCAGUUGUGUACCCAGCCUGCCAGUUGUGUACCCAGCCUGCCAGUUGUGUACCAAGCCUGCCAGUUGUGUACCCAGCCUGCCAGUUGUGUACCCAGCCAAACGCCAAGGCAUCGGCCGUUCUUUGGAAGGCAGUGUAGGACAAUACGUAUCAACAUCAAGUCUGAAGAUGCUCUUCAUGAAAAGUUACUUAUCAUGUUAAAAGAGGUCUAAUUUAAAUUGUUUGUUUUUUCGAUGAUAAACUUGUCAUUUA